This 257-nucleotide long non-coding RNA is filed under the name Linum usitatissimum (flax). RNAcentral describes it as "long non-coding RNA (LUSI_LNC004398)". Lineage: Eukaryota; Viridiplantae; Streptophyta; Magnoliopsida; Malpighiales; Linaceae. The record is from RNAcentral.
GGAACUAGGCUAAAAUUUAAUGAGCCAAUAUUGAGAAUGGUGAAGUUGAGACUAGCAAAUAAGCUUGUAUUUGCCGCUGCAAAUAAAUUGCGCACAGGGGUAAUUUUGUCAUUUUUUAAACAAUCCGAAACUUAAAAUCGAAAUUAAAAUCUAAAAUCCAAAAUUGAAAACCCAAAACUCUAAACUCUAAACUUAAAAAUCCAAAAUUUAAAAUCUGAUACUCUAACCACCUAAAUCUAAAUAAUUUGUUGUUUAUA